This 1576-nucleotide ribosomal RNA is filed under the name Lactiplantibacillus plantarum. RNAcentral's name for it is "Lactobacillus plantarum 16S ribosomal RNA". It matches the Rfam family "Bacterial small subunit ribosomal RNA". Lineage: Bacteria; Bacillati; Bacillota; Bacilli; Lactobacillales; Lactobacillaceae. The record is from RNAcentral.
UUAAUUUGAGAGUUUGAUCCUGGCUCAGGACGAACGCUGGCGGCGUGCCUAAUACAUGCAAGUCGAACGAACUCUGGUAUUGAUUGGUGCUUGCAUCAUGAUUUACAUUUGAGUGAGUGGCGAACUGGUGAGUAACACGUGGGAAACCUGCCCAGAAGCGGGGGAUAACACCUGGAAACAGAUGCUAAUACCGCAUAACAACUUGGACCCCAUGGUCCGAGUUUGAAAGAUGGCUUCGGCUAUCACUUUUGGAUGGUCCCGCGGCGUAUUAGCUAGAUGGUGAGGUAACGGCUCACCAUGGCAAUGAUACGUAGCCGACCUGAGAGGGUAAUCGGCCACAUUGGGACUGAGACACGGCCCAAACUCCUACGGGAGGCAGCAGUAGGGAAUCUUCCACAAUGGACGAAAGUCUGAUGGAGCAACGCCGCGUGAGUGAAGAAGGGUUUCGGCUCGUAAAACUCUGUUGUUAAAGAAGAACAUAUCUGAGAGUAACUGUUCAGGUAUUGACGGUAUUUAACCAGAAAGCCACGGCUAACUACGUGCCAGCAGCCGCGGUAAUACGUAGGUGGCAAGCGUUGUCCGGAUUUAUUGGGCGUAAAGCGAGCGCAGGCGGUUUUUUAAGUCUGAUGUGAAAGCCUUCGGCUCAACCGAAGAAGUGCAUCGGAAACUGGGAAACUUGAGUGCAGAAGAGGACAGUGGAACUCCAUGUGUAGCGGUGAAAUGCGUAGAUAUAUGGAAGAACACCAGUGGCGAAGGCGGCUGUCUGGUCUGUAACUGACGCUGAGGCUCGAAAGUAUGGGUAGCAAACAGGAUUAGAUACCCUGGUAGUCCAUACCGUAAACGAUGAAUGCUAAGUGUUGGAGGGUUUCCGCCCUUCAGUGCUGCAGCUAACGCAUUAAGCAUUCCGCCUGGGGAGUACGGCCGCAAGGCUGAAACUCAAAGGAAUUGACGGGGGCCCGCACAAGCGGUGGAGCAUGUGGUUUAAUUCGAAGCUACGCGAAGAACCUUACCAGGUCUUGACAUACUAUGCAAAUCUAAGAGAUUAGACGUUCCCUUCGGGGACAUGGAUACAGGUGGUGCAUGGUUGUCGUCAGCUCGUGUCGUGAGAUGUUGGGUUAAGUCCCGCAACGAGCGCAACCCUUAUUAUCAGUUGCCAGCAUUAAGUUGGGCACUCUGGUGAGACUGCCGGUGACAAACCGGAGGAAGGUGGGGAUGACGUCAAAUCAUCAUGCCCCUUAUGACCUGGGCUACACACGUGCUACAAUGGAUGGUACAACGAGUUGCGAACUCGCGAGAGUAAGCUAAUCUCUUAAAGCCAUUCUCAGUUCGGAUUGUAGGCUGCAACUCGCCUACAUGAAGUCGGAAUCGCUAGUAAUCGCGGAUCAGCAUGCCGCGGUGAAUACGUUCCCGGGCCUUGUACACACCGCCCGUCACACCAUGAGAGUUUGUAACACCCAAAGUCGGUGGGGUAACCUUUUAGGAACCAGCCGCCUAAGGUGGGACAGAUGAUUAGGGUGAAGUCGUAACAAGGUAGCCGUAGGAGAACCUGCGGCUGGAUCACCUCCUUUCUAAGGAA